GCCAAGGUGGCUGAGUGGACAAAGGCACUUGUCUGUAGAACAAGCGUUGAAAGACUUCCCAGGUUCGAAUCCUGGCCUUGGCA
Molecule: transfer RNA, 83 nt
Filed under: Candidatus Woesebacteria bacterium CG06_land_8_20_14_3_00_39_27
Lineage: Bacteria; Candidatus Woeseibacteriota
Description: tRNA-Tyr
Rfam family: tRNA
About the family: Transfer RNA (tRNA) molecules are approximately 80 nucleotides in length. Their secondary structure includes four short double-helical elements and three loops (D, anti-codon, and T loops). Further hydrogen bonds mediate the characteristic L-shaped molecular structure. tRNAs have two regions of fundamental functional importance: the anti-codon, which is responsible for specific mRNA codon recognition, and the 3' end, to which the tRNAs corresponding amino acid is attached (by aminoacyl-tRNA synthetases). tRNAs cope with the degeneracy of the genetic code in two manners: having more than one tRNA (with a specific anti-codon) for a particular amino acid; and 'wobble' base-pairing, i.e. permitting non-standard base-pairing at the 3rd anti-codon position.
Source: RNAcentral